Molecule: long non-coding RNA, 1503 nt
Organism: Phyllopteryx taeniolatus (common seadragon)
Lineage: Eukaryota; Metazoa; Chordata; Actinopteri; Syngnathiformes; Syngnathidae
Exons: 2
Source: RefSeq, a predicted model, not a curated record
UCUGCCCCUCUUCUGCUGUACCCUUGACGGUAGCACUUAGAGUCAAUACCUCUUCUCAUGUUGACUUAACACUCUGUAAGGUAAUGAAAUCAAAUUUAUUGCUCUCAGGAUGAUAAAUGGGUUAUUAAGGUGUUCGACCAAGGAACCAGUUGAGAUAUUUUGAUCAUUACUCAAAUAUUGACUUUUUCUCUUUAAAAGACUAAGAUUUUUCAUAGUGUUGGAAUACCAGUUCUCAUGUUGACUUAACACUCCGCUUGUCUCGUGAUGGGAAAGAGCAUCUUGAUAUCAGGAUGAUUACAAGAAUAUUAAUGCAUUUGAUCGAGCAACCGGUUUUCGUUAUUGGGGCAGCUUUUAUCUUGUUGAUCUUGGGUGGGUUACAAUAUGUACCACCCCUUAAGUUUGGUAAACAUAGUGUAUGUAACAAGAGUGUAUAGCAUACAGCAUGUACACAGAACUACAUGGAGGGGUAUUGCAUAAACCAAGGAAGAGCAUCACCAUUACAGUCCACUUAUGUGGAGGAGUAACCUUCCUCACGCAGCCAGCUUGAGCUUAAUGAAAACCGUAAUGAAAAUUAAAAUUAAAACUUUUGUGGCACUCCGGCAUCCCAAAAACAUGCGUGGUAGGUUGAUUGAGGACUCUAAAUUGCCCCUAGGUGUGAAUGUGAGAGAGAAUGGUUGUUUGUUUCUAUGUGCCCUGCGAUUGACUGGUGACCGGUUCAGGGUGUACCCCGCCUCCCGCCCGAAGACAGCUUAUCCUGCGACACGCGUUAGGAUAAGCGGUAAAGAAAAUGGAUGAACGGAUGUUUGUGGCAGUUCACAUACCAUUUUUAAAUUGCACUACAGGACGAGUAGAAAUUGGACGUCAACAUUUGAUGAAGCAAACAUGUCGUUAGACAUGUAGUGGACUGUUCAUGGUCCUCAUGUAGAACUAUGAAAUGUUUCUGACAAUACUUGAGAUAAGAUGAACUUGUAGUCCCAUUCGGUUGCUUGAUCAAAGAUAAUGUUCUGUUAAUUAUGCAGAGAUCAUUGGACAAACAGAGUCAAGGUGUUCUAUUCCCUCAUCAAACAAACAAUGUAAGUCAACAUGUGAAGAAGUAUUUAAGUGUGACCGUCAGCGGUACGGCAGAUAACUGCAACACAAACCUGUUGCUUCAGCUUCAACCUGUGGAACGAAAAGGUUAACCUACCAUGUCCAGGCUGCUGAAGGUGACGUUGACGGUGGCCGUGUGUGCGCUCAUCUUAGCCACACUGACGACCAGUGCAGAGGCCCGCCACGUACCUCCCUUUGUCCCUCCACCGUGGGGCAUCAUUGAGACCCAAUCCGGGACACUCACCGAAGCAAUACGUGGAGCGCCGAGACUUGCGGAGAAAGCAGACAAAUGGGGAUGAAUGAUGAAAUACUGCACAACGAAGAGAGACCAAGUUGCAACAGUACAAAUAAAAUGUCUGGCAAUGUAAAGGCUCCCAUUCAUGACAAAUAAAAUGGAUAGAAACUAUCAAACAA